RNAcentral lists this ribosomal RNA (293 nucleotides) under uncultured microorganism. RNAcentral's name for it is "partial 16S ribosomal RNA". It matches the Rfam family "Bacterial small subunit ribosomal RNA", at positions 505 to 796 of the family's 1533-position model. The record is from RNAcentral.
GUGCCAGCAGCCCGCGGUAAUACGUAGGUCCCGAGCGUUGUCCGGAUUUAUUGGGCGUAAAGCGAGCGCAGGCGGUUAGAUAAGUCUGAAGUUAAAGGCUGUGGCUUAACCAUAGUACGCUUUGGAAACUGUUUAACUUGAGUGCAAGAGGGGAGAGUGGAAUUCCAUGUGUAGCGGUGAAAUGCGUAGAUAUAUGGAGGAACACCGGUGGCGAAAGCGGCUCUCUGGCUUGUAACUGACGCUGAGGCUCGAAAGCGUGGGGAGCAAAACAGGAUUAGAUACCCUGGUAGUCC